RNAcentral lists this ribosomal RNA (248 nucleotides) under uncultured bacterium. Its description in RNAcentral is "partial 16S ribosomal RNA". It matches the Rfam family "Bacterial small subunit ribosomal RNA", at positions 793 to 1055 of the family's 1533-position model. The record is from RNAcentral.
GUCCACGCCGUAACGAUGGAUACUAGCUGUUCGGAGCAAUCUGAGUGGCUAAGCGAAGUGAUAAGUAUCCCACCUGGGAGUACGCACGCAAGUGUGAACUCAAAGGAAUUGACGGGGCCCGCACAAGCGGUGGAGCAUGUGGUUUAAUUCGAUGAUACGCGAGGAACCUUACCAGGGCUUAAAUGUAGAUUGACAGGACUGGAAACAGUUUUCUUCGGACAAUUUACAAGGUGCUGCAUGGUUGUCGU